ACUAUGAAUGGCCGCGGUACUUUGACCGUGCUAAGGUAGCGCAAUCAAUUGGCUUUUAAUUGAGGCCAGGUAUGAAUGGAAUCACGGAAUUUAGCUGUCUCCUUGCUAAUUCAUCAAAAUUACUAUCUAGGUGAAAAAGCCUAGAAAUAGAAAAAGGACGAGAAGACCCUUAGAGUUUUUCUAAAUUUAGUAUUUUAUUACUAAAACAGUUUAGUUGGGGCAACAUAGGAACAAUAAACCUCCUAAAAUUAAUUAACCGAUGAUUAUAAAUAUGAAUAAACUACCUUAGGGAUAACAGCAUAAUUUUAAAUUUAAGUUUGUGACCUCGAUGUUGGACUAGGAAGCUAAAAGGCUAGCCGCCUUUUAGGGAAGUUCUGUUCGAACUAUAUUUCCU
This 394-nucleotide ribosomal RNA is filed under the name Atagema notacristata. RNAcentral's name for it is "partial 16S ribosomal RNA". It matches the Rfam family "Archaeal large subunit ribosomal RNA", at positions 1997 to 2665 of the family's 2987-position model. Lineage: Eukaryota; Metazoa; Mollusca; Gastropoda; Nudibranchia; Discodorididae. The record is from RNAcentral.